Molecule: ribosomal RNA, 1208 nt
Filed under: Sulfobacillus acidophilus
Lineage: Bacteria; Bacillati; Bacillota; Clostridia; Eubacteriales; Clostridiales Family XVII. Incertae Sedis
Description: bacterial SSU rRNA
Rfam family: Bacterial small subunit ribosomal RNA
Source: RNAcentral
UGAGGAACACGUGAGUAACCGGGCGUCCGGUGGGGGAUAUCGGGCCGAAAGGCGCGGCAAUCCCGCAUGCGCCCCGGGCCGCGCAAGCGGCCGGGGGGAAAGGCCUUCGGGUCGCCGGACGGGGGGCUCGCGGCCCAUUAGCUAGUUGGGGGGGUAACGGCCUCCCAAGGCGACGAUGGGUAGCCGGCCUGAGAGGGUGAUCGGCCACACUGGGACUGAGACACGGCCCAGACUCCUACGGGAGGCAGCAGUAGGGAAUCUUCCACAAUGGGCGCAAGCCUGAUGGAGCAACGCCGCGUGAGUGAAGACGGCCUUCGGGUUGUAAAGCUCUGUCUGUCGGGACGAGGACCGCGCCGGACGGCGCGGGGGGACGGUACCGGCGGAGGAAGCCCCUGCAAACUACGUGCCAGCAGCCGCGGUAAGACGUAGGGGGCAAGCGUUGUCCGGAAUUACUGGGCGUAAAGGGCGUGUAGGCGGUCGCGCACGUAGCGGUUUUCAGCCGUCGGCUCACCCGACGGAGGGCGGCUAAACGGCGCGGCUCGAGGGCAGGAGAGGUGCAUGGAAUUCCUGGUGGAGCGGUGAAAUGCGUAGAGAUCAGGAAGAACACCGGUGGCGAAGGCGGUGCACUGGCCUGGCCCUGACGCUGAGGCGCGACAGCGUGGGGAGCGAACGGGAUUAGAUACCCCGGUAGUCCACGCCGUAAACGAUGGAUACGAGGUGUCGCGGGGGUCCACCUCGCGGUGCCGGAGCUAACGCACUCAGUAUCCCGCCUGGGGAGUACGGCCGCAAGGUUGAAACUCAAAGGAAUUGACGGGGGCCCGCACAAGCAGUGGAGCAUGUGGUUUAAUUCGACGCAACGCGCAGAACCUUACCAGGGCUAGACGGGACCGUGAGCCCCGCGAAAGCGGGGGGCUGCUUCGGCAGAGCGGUCGUCAGGUGCUGCAUGGUUGUCGUCAGCUCGUGUCGUGAGAUGUUGGGUUAAGUCCCGCAACGAGCGCAACCCUCGUCGACUGUUGCCAGCGAUUCGGUCGGGCACUCAGUCGAGACAGCCGGGGACGACCCGGAGGAAGGUGGGGAUGACGUCAAAUCCGCAUGGCCUUGAUGUCCUGGGCUACACACGUGCUACAAUGGCGCCGACAACGGGCCGCAACCCCGCGAGGGGACGCGAAUCCUUCAAACGGCGUCUCAGUUCGGAUUGCAGGCUGCAA